RNAcentral lists this ribosomal RNA (267 nucleotides) under uncultured bacterium. RNAcentral describes it as "partial 16S ribosomal RNA". It matches the Rfam family "Bacterial small subunit ribosomal RNA", at positions 29 to 310 of the family's 1533-position model. The record is from RNAcentral.
AACGAACGCUGGCGGCAUGCCUAACACAUGCAAGUCGAACGGGAUCCUGGUUUCGGCCAGGUGAGAGUGGCGGACGGGUGAGUAACGCGUGGGAACCUGCCCAGUGGUGGGGGAGUAACUGCGGGAAACGUAGCAGCUAAUACCGCAUGAGCCCGCAAGGGAAAGGAUUGAUCGCCAUUGGAGGGGCCCGCGUUCGAUUAGGUAGUUGGUGAGGUAACGGCUCACCAAGCCUUCGAUCGAUAGCUGGUCUGAGAGGAUGAUCAGCCA